This 433-nucleotide ribosomal RNA is filed under the name uncultured bacterium. RNAcentral describes it as "partial 16S ribosomal RNA". It matches the Rfam family "Bacterial small subunit ribosomal RNA", at positions 29 to 507 of the family's 1533-position model. The record is from RNAcentral.
AACGAACGCUGGCGGCAUGCCUAACACAUGCAAGUCGAACGAAACCUUCGUGUCUAGGGGCGCACGAGUACGGAACGCGUGGUAACCUGCCCUUAGGUUCGGGAUAACACCCCGACAGGGAUCCUAAGACCGGUUAAGGUCUUCGUACCAAAGAUUUAUCGGCUUUGGUUGGGCCCGCGUUGGAUUAGCUAGUUGGUAAGGUAAAAGCCUACCAAGGCAACGAUCCAUAGCUGGUCUGAGAGGAUGAUCAGCCACCCUGGGACUGAGACACGGCCCGGACUCCUGCGGGAGGCAGCAGUGGGGAAUGUUGGACAAUGGGCGAAAGAAUGAUCCAGUCAUGCCGCGUGAGUGAUGAAGGACUUAGGGUUGUAAAGCUCUUUUAACAGGGCUGAUAAUGACAGUACCGGGAGAAUAAGCGCCGGCUAACUACGUG